CAGUCGCCGCGGUAAUACGUAGGGUGCAAGCGUUAAUCGGAAUUACUGGGCGUAAAGCGUGCGCAGGCGGUUAUAUAAGUCAGAUGUGAAAUCCCCGGGCUCAACCUGGGAACUGCAUUUGAGACUGUAUGGCUAGAGUGUGUCAGAGGGGGGGUAGAAUUCCACGUGUAGCAGUGAAAUGCGUAGAUAUGUGGAGGAAUACCGAUGGCGAAGGCAGCCCCCUGGGAUAACACUGACGCUCAUGCACGAAAGCGUGGGGAGCAAACAGGAUUAGAUACCCGCGUAGUCCCUGUCUCUUAUA
RNAcentral lists this ribosomal RNA (301 nucleotides) under uncultured bacterium. RNAcentral's name for it is "partial 16S ribosomal RNA". It matches the Rfam family "Bacterial small subunit ribosomal RNA", at positions 509 to 808 of the family's 1533-position model. The record is from RNAcentral.